Molecule: ribosomal RNA, 422 nt
Filed under: uncultured archaeon
Lineage: Archaea
Description: partial 16S ribosomal RNA
Rfam family: Archaeal small subunit ribosomal RNA
Source: RNAcentral
CUACGGGAGGCACCAGGCGAGAAAACUUUGCAAUGUGCGAAAGCACGACAAGGUUAAUCCGAGUGGUUUGUGCUAAACGAACCUUUUGACAGUCCUAGAAAUACUGUUGAAUAAGGGGUGGGCAAGUUCUGGUGUCAGCCGCCGCGGUAAAACCAGCACCUCAAGUGGUCAGGAUGAUUAUUGGGCCUAAAGCAUCCGUAGCCGGCUCUGUAAGUUUUCGGUUAAAUCUGUACGCUCAACGUACAGGCUGCCGGGAAUACUGCAGAGCUAGGGAGUGGGAGAGGUAGACGGUACUCGGUAGGAAGGGGUAAAAUCCUUUGAUCUAUUGAUGACCACCUGUGGCGAGGGCGGUCCACCAGAACACGUCCGACGGUGAGGGAUGAAAGCUGGGGGAGCAAACCGGAUUAGAUACCCUAGUAGUC